RNAcentral lists this ribosomal RNA (279 nucleotides) under uncultured bacterium. RNAcentral's name for it is "partial 16S ribosomal RNA". It matches the Rfam family "Bacterial small subunit ribosomal RNA", at positions 506 to 784 of the family's 1533-position model. The record is from RNAcentral.
UGCCAGCAGCCGCGGUAAUACAGAGGGGGCAAGCGUUAUUCGGAAUUAUUGGGCGUAAAGGGCGCGUAGGCGGCCCUUCAAGUGGUAGGUGAAAUCCCUCGGCUCAACCGAGGAGCUGCCCGCCAAACUGAAGAGCUUGAGUCCGGGAGAGGUGAGUGGAAUUCCCAGUGUAGCGGUGAAAUGCGUAGAUAUUGGGAGGAACACCAGUGGCGAAGGCGGCUCACUGGACCGGAACUGACGCUGAGGCGCGAAAGCGUGGGGAGCAAACGGGAUUAGAUA